CUGUUCGUUUAUGUGGAAUUCGAUAAGCCAAAAUCGAAAUGGAUACAAUUCUCUUCAGUAAAUUACCUAUUUACCAACAUCGUAUAGGCAAUUUGGAUCGAGAUAAUAUUGAUUAUCUUUAGGAGGGGUUAAUUACAUGUCCGUUGAUUGGUAUCCCCCAAAUUAAAUCCUACAUGGCCAUCGGAAAUAACUUCAAUUUUAAAUCAGCGAGGCCCGAUGGUGGUGGAGCGGUGCGAUUUCAGAGGUACAAUAGCUUCAACGCAUCUCUGAGCAAUGCCUAAGUCAUUUGUCGUCGGUAGUAACCCUUCGCAAGAGGUGAGUAUUUUGAUUGAGAGUUUGAUAUUCUUGAUGGUUGAUUGAGAGAUAAAUCUUUCGAUUUUCAAGAUGAGACUAUUUCUUCCGUCAUCUCCAAAUAUUCGUCAACGCAACAGAGGACGCCAGAGAGAUCAAUUUUCAAUUUUGUCGCGAUCUCAAAGGAAUUGGAGCUGCGCAGGAAAUCUGGGAGUGCAAUGUGACAGUAUUUCUUGUUUUUCUGCAAUUUCGUUGUCGAAAUUGUGGUCAGGUUCAGAAGGUGCUCUGAUCCUUAUUUUUUUAGUUUCUUAGCUAUUUUCUAAUCAGCUCGCGAAGCUUUCGACUUUUCGACAUCUGAGGAAAAUUAAGAUAAUUUUCGGUGUCA
This is a long non-coding RNA of Salvia miltiorrhiza (redroot sage), 676 nucleotides long. RefSeq lists it as uncharacterized. The transcript has 2 exons. The record is from RefSeq and is a predicted model, not a curated record. NCBI's taxonomy places the organism in Eukaryota, Viridiplantae, Streptophyta, Magnoliopsida, Lamiales, Lamiaceae.